GUGUACAGCCAUACCACCCUGAACGUGCCUGAUCUCGUCUGAUCUCGUAAGCUAAGCAGGGUUGGGCCUGGUUAGUACUUGGAUGGGAGAAAGCACAUGACUUAAUAUU
Molecule: ribosomal RNA, 109 nt
Organism: Cricetulus griseus (Chinese hamster)
Lineage: Eukaryota; Metazoa; Chordata; Mammalia; Rodentia; Cricetidae
Source: Ensembl